Molecule: RNA transcript, 4426 nt
Organism: Colias croceus (clouded yellow)
Lineage: Eukaryota; Metazoa; Arthropoda; Insecta; Lepidoptera; Pieridae
Gene name: sulfhydryl oxidase 1-like
Exons: 2
Source: RefSeq, a predicted model, not a curated record
UACCUUAUCAUCAAUCAUCAUUUUCUAGUUUCUACGUUUGCCUUUGCGACGUCUUGUGUUACGUACCUACCUACGAAGGUACCUACAAACAUAAAUGGUGCGAUAGUAAACUGUCUGUGACGUAUUAAUUUAACACGGAUGAAAAGAGGGAAAUAUAAAUCGGUGUUGAUAAAUUACUAAAUUAGUUUUUAAACUAAACAGACUCGCGGUGAACUUGUUUCUGUGGUGCUUAAAAAUGAACUACUGGUGUUUUCUAUUCAUAGGUGUUUUUCUUCUGAUAUUUGUUAAUGGAGCUGUUGUACCAGACAGUAAUGAUGUAGAACAGCAAGGGCUUUAUAGUAAGUCAGACCACGUAACUGUGUUAACUAACAGAAACUUUAAUAGAAAAAUAUAUGGUCAAAAAAAUGCUUACAUAGUCCAGUUUUACAACAGUUACUGCGGACACUGCCGCGCGUUUGCUCCGAAAUUUAAAAGCUUAGCUGCUGAUGUCUCUGCAUGGAAAAAUGUUAUAAAAUUGGCCGUCAUUGAUUGUUCAGUGGAGGAAAAUAAUGAAAUAUGUAGACAAUUUGAAGUAAUGGCAUAUCCAUCUUUACGCUAUUUACAUGAGUUCUACAAAAAAGGUAAUGCCUUUGUUGGGGAAAAAUUUCAGUUAGCAGAUACAGCAGAGAAACUAAGAGCUCAACUGAUAGCUAAACUGCAAUCUGAACAAUCUCUAGGCCGUCUAUCAUCAGCUCCUCUUCUCAAUAUAGCAGCUUAUGAAUCUUACACUACUGCCUUGAGUACUAUGUCCAAUGAUGUCAUAUAUACUUUCCUAGUUUUUGAAAAUGAAAAUUCUACUAUUGGUUCUGAGCUAGCUCUAGACAUUAAUGAUUAUGAGCAUAUUAAGGUUCUAAGAGUGCAAGAAAUUUGUGAGUUGGCCACAGUAGCGGGUGUUACAAGAUUUCCUGGAUUAGUUGCAGUUAGAUCAACAUUAGAACCAACACCACUCACACCAAAGAAUCCUACGAGACAAACCCUGCUUAAGGCUGUUAAUGCAUUUUUAAGGUCUAAAAAUUAUGUGUUGCCCGCUAGAGAUAUAGAAAUUGAUGACAACAAUGACAGUUUUAUUACUAAAGAUAAACCAGCACAAGAUCCUGAUUUUGUUUAUUAUACAGACCUAGAAAAAACACUUAAGACAAGUCUGCAUACAGAAAUAACUAGACAUAAAGUACUGAGUGGUGAACCAUUGCAAGCACUCCUUGAUUAUUUAGAUGUGCUUAUUGUAUCAUUUCCGGCUAGAUACAAUUUAAAAGAGUACCUUAUUGAGUUACGAAAUAUUCUGGGCAGAAAAUCUCAAUGGAGUGGAAGUGAAAUAUACGAAACUGUAAAAAGGCUAGAAAAUAAUUAUAAUACCGUUUUUUCACCGGAACUAGAAUAUAUAGGAUGCAGAGGAAGCCAACCUCAAUAUAGAGGUUAUACUUGUGGACUAUGGACAUUAUUCCAUACAUUAACCGUGAAUGCCGCACAACAACCUGGCAUAGAAGGCCCCAAAGUAUUGAAGGCAAUGCAUGGCUAUGUCAAACAUUUCUUCGGUUGCACUGAUUGCUCCCAGCAUUUCCAAAGUAUGGCUGCAAGGAACAGAAUAUUUGAUGUAAAAGAAAAUGACAAGGCUGUACUUUGGCUUUGGAUUUCACACAAUGAAGUAAAUUUAAGGUUGGCCGGAGACGUCACUGAAGAUCCUGAACACCCCAAGAUUCAAUUUCCUAGUGCUAUCAAGUGUCCUGAAUGCAGGCAGGCCCGAGGCGCCUGGAACUUACCCAAUGUGUAUCAAUAUUUGCAAAGGAUGUAUGGAGCCGACAACAUACAAGAUGCUAGAAGAGCGAGAUCCACAGCUGCAGCGCAAAGCCCUCUAUCAAACCUGGAUAUUGGAAUGCUAAGCCUUCUGUACAUAUUUUCUUUUCUUAUUCUCAUUUUAGUUAUUAAGUACUUCCUAUCUAAAAGAUUUUUUAGAAAACGUCGCUAUAAGCAUGCCUGGGGUAAAGUAUAACUUUACAACUAAAUCAAUCAGGCCCAUCUGAAUUGUGUAAGAUAUAUGAGUGAGAUAUGCAUGGUCAUAAGUCAUAACAUCAAUUUUUGUACAUAAAAUCACUAUUAUGCUAUUAUGUUAGGAAUGAAAAGAAUUUAAGUAAAUUAUCUAUUUAUUGAUUAGCUUUGAAUAAUGCAUUUAGGAAUUUUUACUAUGAACUUUGAUGUCUUUCCAUUAGUCAUAAUUUAAUUUUUAUUCUCUGAUAAACUUAUUCAAUUUUAACUUUCUCUUAUUUUAUCUUAUGCAAAAGAUAAACUGGUACUGAUUUAAUAUAGAUUAAUAUAAACGUACAGGUUACAUAUACAACUUGUAGUAAUAUUAUUUAUUCUAUUUGAUAAAGUGAAAGUUUAUUUCAACUUUCAAAUUGAUAAUGACCUACUUAUUAUAUAUUUGUAUAUAUUUAUAUUUAUUUCUGGCUAACAAAUGAUAUCUUCAAUUAACCAUCAUUCUGUAGUAUUUUCAACUUAUUUCUACUAUCUGAUCUCAUUAAAUCAUCAUCUCAGAAAUCAUACAUGAUUGCAUUUUAGUUGCAUUUGAAUAUGUAUAACUUAUUUUUAAUAGUCACUAGUUAAACGCCCGCGGCUUCGCCCGCUUUGUCUAAAACCUAAUAAAUUAUAUACUAAAACCUUCCUCUUGAAUCACUCUAUCUAUUAAAAAAAACCGCAUCAAAAUCCGUUGCGUAGUUUUAAAGAUUUAAGCAUACAAAGGGACGUAAGGACAUUGGGACACACGGACAGAAAAAGCGACUUUGUUUUAUACUAUGUAGUGAUAGUGAAGUAUUUUGAAAUUUUGUUUAACAAGAUUACUAAUUACUUAGUAUCUAGUUUGUGCCUUGAAAUAAAACAAGUGGAGCAUCACCAAUCUAAACAUGAUGAAUUAUAAAUGUAAUGAAAUCUGUAUUUUUUAUGGAUAGGAUGAUCUAAUAAUAAUUUAUAUUUAUUAUUUGGUUUAUUAAGUGUAAAGAUUAUUUGGGUAUAUAUAUUUUUAAUAAAAUAGAUAUUUACAAUUUUAUCUUUAAUAAAUAAAUUUUACUUCGGUUCAAUUACAUUCAUUGCUUUGAAUCACUAUUUGUUUUGGAAUUUUUAAUGAAGCUUUAAAUAGAGUAAAACAAUUGAAACCAUGAAAAAUUGGCAAUCAUGAUUAUUAAGUCUAUACUAGAGUAUUAGGUAACCUUUUAAUAUUUUAAGAAUUUAAUCUUUUUCAUUUUUUGGGAUGAUGAUUUUAAUUUUUACUAUGAAAAUAUACACACUAUUUUAUCAUGUUUAUACAUGUUUGUUUUUAAAAAGUUAAUUUAAAUUAUUUAUUAAAUUAUAUAAAAGUCGGUACUUUGCAAGAUUUUAGUUUAUAACAUUUGUAGCUCAAUCGUAGAACGGAUACUCAAUGGUAAUUAAUAAUUUUAAUGAUUGUUAUUCAUAAAGCUCAAUAUUCAAUUAAAAAUAAGAUAACAGACAACUUUUAUUAUAAUAGUUAUUAUAUAAUUUAAUGUAGUGAAAUUUACAAGGGGAAUUUUAUUCUUAAGAUUUGUAUUCAUAGAGAUUGGAAAUCGACAAUAGCAUGUACAUUAUAAUUUCUUUGAACAAUAAUUAUCUAUCAUAAACCGUUAUGAACUUAUUUAAUUUAUUAUCAUUUGGUGAAUAUUAUCCAUCAAGUUCACAGUUAAAUUGAAGAACCGUAAUCAUUAUUUCCAAGAUUAAAUUAUUUCAUUCCGAAUUUAUUGUUCCAAUUAAAUGGCAGCUAUGUGUAAUAAUGCAAUAUGUAUAAUUCAUUCCUAAAAAACAUUCGUACGUGUAUGCAUUCCGUAUUGUGAUUUAACAUAUCAUUUGUAAGCAUUAGAUUAAAUCAAUUAAAUAAUUAUUCAUGAGGUUAUACCAUGACCUUUCUGCAACAUUUGUUAUUGAUUGACACCCGGUAGAGUUUAAUAAUUUCAGCUAUAACUCAUUUUAGUUAAUUAAAGACUUAAAGCUGCCCUAGUAGAAAUUUAUAAAUAUUAAAUAAUUUAUUUUAAUAUAAUUGUUUUAAUUCAUGGCCGAUUAAUAUUAUUCUUUAAUUUAAGCAGUUUGCUUCAUCGCGUCUGGAGAGAAUCUUCUUUUAACUAGAGUCAGGUAUAUGGCUGCUUGACUAAUGCUCUAAGGAAGUAAUGAACAACGAAUAAUUUAUACAAGUUCUAUGGAAGAUUCGACCAGUGAUAAUCUCAUAUUGUACUAAAAUUUAGAUUCCAAUAAUAACUAGUUCUAAGCUUAAUGUGUUAUUUCUAUAAUGGCAUUCUAUUUAUUGCAUUAUCAAUGUAUCGAUCAUUAUAUAAAUAAUUGUGAAUAUAACUAAUAGCUGUAAAAUGUAAAUAAAACCUAUAUUUUUUGGCAA